GACGAACGCGGGCGGCGUGCCUAAUACAUGCAAGUAGAACGCUGAAGAGAGGAGCUUGCUCUUCUGGAUGAGUUGCGAACGGGUGAGUAACGCGUAGGUAACCUGCCUUGUAGCGGGGGAUAACUAUUGGAAACGAUAGCUAAUACCGCAUAACAAUGGGUGACUCAUGUCAUUUAUUUGAAAGGGGCAAAUGCUCCACUACAAGAUGGACCUGCGUUGUAUUAGCUAGUAGGUGAGGUAACGGCUCACCUAGGCGACGAUACAUAGCCGACCUGAGAGGGUGAUCGGCCACACUGGGACUGAGACACGGCCCAGACUCCUACGGGAGGCAGCAGUAGGGAAUCUUCGGCAAUGGGGGCAACCCUGACCGAGCAACGCCGCGUGAGUGAAGAAGGUUUUCGGAUCGUAAAGCUCUGUUGUAAGUCAAGAACGAGUGUGAGAGUGGAAAGUUCACACUGUGACGGUAGCUUACCAGAAAGGGACGGCUAACUACGUGCCAGCAGCCGCGGUAAUACGUAGGUCCCGAGCGUUGUCCGGAUUUAUUGGGCGUAAAGCGAGCGCAGGCGGUUUGAUAAGUCUGAAGUUAAAGGCUGUGGCUCAACCAUAGUUCGCUUUGGAAACUGUCAAACUUGAGUGCAGAAGGGGAGAGUGGAAUUCCAUGUGUAGCGGUGAAAUGCGUAGAUAUAUGGAGGAACACCGGUGGCGAAAGCGGCUCUCUGGUCUGUAACUGACGCUGAGGCUCGAAAGCGUGGGGAGCGAACAGG
RNAcentral lists this ribosomal RNA (764 nucleotides) under uncultured Streptococcus sp. RNAcentral's name for it is "bacterial SSU rRNA". It matches the Rfam family "Bacterial small subunit ribosomal RNA", at positions 28 to 776 of the family's 1533-position model. The record is from RNAcentral. Lineage: Bacteria; Bacillati; Bacillota; Bacilli; Lactobacillales; Streptococcaceae.